Molecule: transfer RNA, 66 nt
Filed under: Podargus ocellatus
Lineage: Eukaryota; Metazoa; Chordata; Aves; Caprimulgiformes; Podargidae
Description: tRNA-Cys
Source: RNAcentral
AGCUCUGUAGUGAAGUUCAUGUUGAGUUGCAAGCUCAAUGAUGUGUAUAAAGAUACACCAGGGCUU